Molecule: ribosomal RNA, 484 nt
Filed under: uncultured bacterium
Lineage: Bacteria
Description: partial 16S ribosomal RNA
Rfam family: Bacterial small subunit ribosomal RNA
Source: RNAcentral
AGUGAACGCUGGCGGCGUGCUUAACACAUGCAAGUCGAACGAGAACGGAUUAUAGCUUGCUAUAAUUGUCAGCUAAGUGGCGCACGGGUGAGUAAUGUAUAGGUAAUAUGCCUCUUACUAAGGGAUAACAAAUGGAAACGUUUGCUAAUACCUUAUACUCCUUAUUAACAUAAGUUAAUAAGGGAAAGAUUUAUUGGUAAGAGAUUAGCCUGUAUUGUAUCAGUUAGUUGGUGGGGUAAUGGCUUACCAAGAAUAUGACACAUAACUGGUUUGAGAGUAUGAUCAGUCACACUGGAACUGAGACACUGUCCGGACUCCUACGGGAGGCAGCAGUGGGGAAUAUUGCACAAUGGACGGAAGUCUGAUGCAGCAACGCCGCGUGGAGGAUGACACAUUUCGGUGCGUAAACUCCUUUUAUACGAGAAGUUAAUGACGGUAUUAUAUGAAUAAGCACCGGCUAACUCCGUGCCAGCAGCAGCCGCCG